AUGUUCUGUAACAGGCAUUAAACCAGCAUCCGGGGAUUCUCCUUUACAGCUUGGUCCAAAAGAAGAGGAUGUGACAAAGCCUGUAAAUCUGCGGUCGUUCUUUGUGCGGUUCAUCUUGGGUGUCAUGGCAGCAACAUACUUUGUUCUGGUGCCUAUAUACAUGUGGCUCAAGGAUAAAAUUGUACCCAAAGGUCAACCAAUCUAAGAGAGAGAGAGAGAGAGAGAGAGAGAGAGCCUUAGAAAACAUUAUAUUUCAGCAUCUUUUCGUGUGCUUUUGGUUGGUUUCACUUUUAGUAGGCAGGCAAAGUUUUCAUAGUGUUUGGUGAGACUGAAUUGUUGAUGAUCGCUAAUAAAGUUCCAAUCACAUUUUUAAUUUUUCU
Molecule: non-coding RNA, 380 nt
Organism: Prunus avium (sweet cherry)
Lineage: Eukaryota; Viridiplantae; Streptophyta; Magnoliopsida; Rosales; Rosaceae
Source: RefSeq, a predicted model, not a curated record